ACGGAAGGCAGCAGUAAGGGAUAUUGCACAAUGGGGGAAACCCUGAUGCAGCAACGCCGCGUGAAGGAAGAAGGCCUUCGGGUUGUAAACUUCUUUUGUCAGGGACGAAGGACGUGACGGUACCUGACGAAUAAGCAACGGCUAACUACGUGCCAGCAGCCGCGGUAAUACGUAGGUUGCAAGCGUUGUCCGGAUUUACUGGGUGUAAAGGGCGUGUAGGCGGAUCUGCAAGUCAGAUGUGAAAUCCCGGGGCUCAACCCCGGAACUGCAUUUGAAACUGUAGACCUUGAGUAUCGGAGAGGCAAGCGGAAUUCCUAGUGUAGCGGUGAAAUGCGUAGAUAUUAGGAGGAACACCAGUGGCGAAGGCGGCUUGCUGGACGACAACUGACGCUGAGGCGCGAAAGCGUGGGGAGCAAACAGGAUUAGAUACCCUGGUA
Molecule: ribosomal RNA, 437 nt
Filed under: uncultured Pseudoflavonifractor sp.
Lineage: Bacteria; Bacillati; Bacillota; Clostridia; Eubacteriales; Oscillospiraceae
Description: partial 16S ribosomal RNA
Rfam family: Bacterial small subunit ribosomal RNA
Source: RNAcentral